This 175-nucleotide unclassified non-coding RNA is filed under the name uncultured Ascomycota. RNAcentral's name for it is "sequence contains ITS1". Lineage: Eukaryota; Fungi; Ascomycota. The record is from RNAcentral.
UCGAGUUAGGGUCUGUGGCCCGACCUCCAACCCUAUGUUUAAAUACCCUGUUGCUUUGGCGGGUCCGUCUCCGGACCGCCGGAGGUCGUCCCGGACCUCUGGCCCGUGCCCGUCGAUGGCCCCUCGCAAACUCUUGACCAAACAGGUGUCGUCUGAGUCUAAAACUUAAUAAUUA